AUUGAACGCUGGCGGCAGGCCUAACACAUGCAAGUCGAGCGGAUGACGGGAGCUUGCUCCUUGAUUCAGCGGCGGACGGGUGAGUAAUGCCUAGGAAUCUGCCUGGUAGUGGGGGACAACGUUUCGAAAGGAACGCUAAUACCGCAUACGUCCUACGGGAGAAAGCAGGGGACCUUCGGGCCUUGCGCUAUCAGAUGAGCCUAGGUCGGAUUAGCUAGUUGGUGGGUUAAUGGCUCACCAAGGCGACGAUCCGUAACUGGUCUGAGAGGAUGAGCAGGCACACUGGAACUGAGACACGGUCCAGACUCCUACGGGAGGCAGCAGUGGGGAAUAUUGGACAAUGGGCGAAAGCCUGAUCCAGCCAUGCCGCGUGUGUGAAGAAGGUCUUCGGAUUGUAAAGCACUUAAAGUUGGGAGGAAGGGCAGUAAGCUAAUACCUUGCUGUUUUGACGUUACCGACAGAAUAAGCACCGGCUAACUCUGUGCCAGCCGCCGCGGUAA
RNAcentral lists this ribosomal RNA (500 nucleotides) under uncultured bacterium. RNAcentral describes it as "partial 16S ribosomal RNA". It matches the Rfam family "Bacterial small subunit ribosomal RNA", at positions 30 to 523 of the family's 1533-position model. The record is from RNAcentral.